Molecule: long non-coding RNA, 870 nt
Filed under: Homo sapiens (human)
Lineage: Eukaryota; Metazoa; Chordata; Mammalia; Primates; Hominidae
Description: long non-coding RNA NONHSAT179951.1
Source: RNAcentral
CCACAAGGUCCGUCUCAACAGCUGGCCCUGAGGACCAGCCCCUCAUGCCUACAGGGUCAGUCCCCCACAGUGGUCUGAGAAGGCACUGGGAGGUACUGAUCGGGGUCUUGGUGGUCUCCAUCCUGCUUCUCUCCCUCCUCCUCUUCCUCCUCCUCCAACACUGGCGUCAGGGAAAACACAGGACAUUGGCCCAGAGACAGGCUGAUUUCCAACGUCCUCCAGGGGCUGCCGAGCCAGAGCCCAAGGACGGGGGCCUACAGAGGAGGUCCAGCCCAGCUGCUGACGUCCAGGGAGAAAACUUCUCAGGUGCUGCCGUGAAGAACACACAGCCUGAGGACGGGGUGGAAAUGGACACUCGGCAGAGCCCACACGAUGAAGACCCCCAGGCAGUGACGUAUGCCAAGGUGAAACACUCCAGACCUAGGAGAGAAAUGGCCUCUCCUCCCUCCCCACUGUCUGGGGAAUUCCUGGACACAAAGGACAGACAGGCAGAAGAGGACAGACAGAUGGACACUGAGGCUGCUGCAUCUGAAGCCCCCCAGGAUGUGACCUACGCCCGGCUGCACAGCUUUACCCUCAGACAGAAGGCAACUGAGCCUCCUCCAUCCCAGGAAGGGGCCUCUCCAGCUGAGCCCAGUGUCUAUGCCACUCUGGCCAUCCACUAAUCCAGGGGGGACCCAGACCCCACAAGCCAUGGAGACUCAGGACCCCAGAAGGCAUGGAAGCUGCCUCCAGUAGACAUCACUGAACCCCAGCCAGCCCAGACCCCUGACACAGACCACUAGAAGAUUCCGGGAACGUUGGGAGUCACCUGAUUCUGCAAAGAUAAAUAAUAUCCCUGCAUUAUCAAAAUAAAGUAGCAGACCUCUC